UCACACCUGCUUUUACUCUGUGAGUUGUACUUUUGCUUCUUCAAUAAAUCUGUGCCUUUGUUACUCCGUUCUUUUGUUGUUUUGCUUGUGCGUUUUGUUUAAUUCUUUGUUUGAAACCCCAAGAACCUGGACAACUCACAGUCAAGACCUUCCGUCCGGUAACAAAGCAACAGACCUCAGUCAUGUCAUCUGCUUACAAAGGAGCCACGAAUCAAGACCGAUUCCGUGUGCUCUUGACGAUUCUGUUACACUCCUGCAGGGUAUCGCUCUGCCUCCCAGGCUGGAGUGCAG
This 291-nucleotide long non-coding RNA is filed under the name Homo sapiens (human). RNAcentral describes it as "HSALNT0366070". The record is from RNAcentral. Lineage: Eukaryota; Metazoa; Chordata; Mammalia; Primates; Hominidae.